UAGGGAAUCUUCCGCAAUGGGCGAAAGCCUGACGGAGCAACGCCGCGUGAGUGAUGAAGGUCUUCGGAUCGUAAAACUCUGUUAUUAGGGAAGAACAUAUGUGUAAGUAACUGUGCACAUCUUGACGGUACCUAAUCGGAAAGCCACGGCUAACUACGUGCCAGCAGCCGCGGUAAUACGUAGGUGGCAAGCGUUAUCCGGAAUUAUUGGGCGUAAAGCGCGCGUAGGCGGUUUUUUAAGUCUGAUGUGAAAGCCCACGGCUCAACCGUGGAGGGUCAUUGGAAACUGGAAAACUUGAGUGCAGAAGAGGAAAGUGGAAUUCCAUGUGUAGCGGUGAAAUGCGCAGAGAUAUGGAGGAACACCAGUGGCGAAGGCGACUUUCUGGUCUGUAACUGACGCUGAUGUGCGAAAGCGUGGGGAUCAAACAGGAUUAGAUACCCUGGUAGUCCACGCCGUAAACGAUGAGUGCUAAGUGUUAGGGGGUUUCCGCCCCUUAGUGCUGCAGCUAACGCAUUAAGCACUCCGCCUGGGGAGUACGACCGCAAGGUUG
Molecule: ribosomal RNA, 550 nt
Filed under: uncultured bacterium
Lineage: Bacteria
Description: bacterial SSU rRNA
Rfam family: Bacterial small subunit ribosomal RNA
Source: RNAcentral